GUUGGCUUUAGGGAUGAUCAGUGAGAUACACCUGCUGGAGCGCGUGCUACGGAUGGGUGUUGCCAUCGUGACCAGUGAACUGAGAUAAGGCGGAGCUUUACCUAGCAUGGACUUGUAGAUGACCUGGAGCCAGUGGGUGAUGAAAGGGGACAUAAGAUAAAACACUUAUGUAAACACCAGUACGUACACCAGUAACAUGUGAAACAGGAAAUGAACUACCAUCCUGAAGUAUGACUAAAAAUAAAAAGCACAGCAGUUUUUUGGGGCGAGACAAACGGGAGACGUUCAUCAGUAGGAAUAAACACCAUCCAUGUUACCGUGACGUCGACGGGCUCAGUUCCAUCUCUUGGCUAUCAACCCCCCUCCCUCCCUCCAACACCUACAAGCAGAUGACAAAUACAAUGACAGCAAUUGUAAAACAUCCACCUGGGCUCCUUUGAGUUCAAAUGUUUACCCAAAAUACCUGAUUUCACACUGUCGUCUUGUUUUCUGACGAUUGGGCUAGGUGUUGCAUGUCUAGUGUGGGGGCUAGGUGUUGCAUGUCUAGUGUGGGGGCUAGGUGUUGCAUGUCUAGUGUGGGGGCUAGGUGUUGCAUGUCUAGUGUGGGGGCUAGGUGUUGCACACACACGUUCUGGACAUUGCAACAGUUCAUUCAUGCAUAGAUCAUCAGAAACACUACAAACAUACCACCAGCAUGUAUACAGGUUUCAGACCACCAGCAUGCAUACAGGUUUCAGACCACCAGCAUGUAUACAGGUUUCAGACCACCAGCAUGUAUACAGGUUUCAGACCACCAGCAUGUAUACAGGUUUCAGACCACCAGCAUGCAUACAGGUUUCAUACC
Long non-coding RNA from Oncorhynchus tshawytscha (Chinook salmon), 844 nucleotides. The record is from Ensembl. Lineage: Eukaryota; Metazoa; Chordata; Actinopteri; Salmoniformes; Salmonidae.